This 82-nucleotide microRNA precursor is filed under the name Drosophila guanche. Lineage: Eukaryota; Metazoa; Arthropoda; Insecta; Diptera; Drosophilidae. The record is from RNAcentral.
GUGGCAAAGAGAGAGAGAGAAAGAGCUGAACUUUGAUCUCUCUCAUCCUCCCUCUCUCUCUCUCUCUCUCUCUCUCUGCCAC